Vicia villosa (hairy vetch) is the source of this 502-nucleotide long non-coding RNA. RefSeq lists it as uncharacterized. The record is from RefSeq and is a predicted model, not a curated record. The transcript is spliced from 4 exons. Lineage: Eukaryota; Viridiplantae; Streptophyta; Magnoliopsida; Fabales; Fabaceae.
UCAGACCCAGCACAACAAUGGCAGAGUUGAAGUUGCGGCCGGGAUUUCAAAGAAGAUAACAUUUUUCUUCUUCCUCUUGACAAUAUCCUUCUUUCUCACUUUCUCAUCUCCGUCUUUUCGUUUUUGAAAAAGGGUCAAAUCAAUAACUCUUCCGAUACUUACAAAAUCACCCACAGAUCAUUAUGGAAAGAAAAUGGAGGACAUUGAGAAGAAUGUAAGAUUGAAGCAAUCAGAGGCAACAAUUAUACAUUGAUAGCAGAUGGAGUUAUUUAGUUCGGUUGGGGUUGUGGCGUCUCGUCGAGUUUUCAUUCCUCCUAGCUGCCCAACCCAAUCUAAGUAUACUGCUGAGUUAAGGAAUGAAAGCAGGAUUGGUGUUGCUGAUACUUUGUCUAUUUCGUUGGAACUGGUGGAAGGUGGAAGCUUAUAUUUGGUGUCUUUGUUAUAGUUCUGUUUGCAUUGUGUUAAUUUGAUAGGUGACCGUAAGCAUUAGUUGUGUAAUAUA